CAAUAGCGUAUAUUAAAAGUUGUUGCGGUUAAAAAGACUCGUAGUUGGAUUUCUGCCGAGGACGACCGGUCCGCCCUCUGGGUGAGUAUCUGGUUCAACCUGGGCAUCUUCUUGGAGAACGUGGCUGCACUUGAUUGUGUGGUGCGGUAUCCAGGACUUUUACUUUGAGGAAAUUAGAGUGCUUCAAGCAGGCACAUUAGCAUGGAAUAAUAAGAUAGGAACCUCGGUUUCUAUUUUUGUUGGUUUCUAGAGCUGAGGUAAUGAUUAAUAGGGAUAGUUGGGGGCAUUUCGUAUUUAAUUGUUCAGAGGUGAAAUUACUUGGAUUUGUUAAAGACGGACGUACUGCGAAAGCAUUUGCCAAGGAUGUUUUCAUUGAUCAAGAACGAAAGUUAGGGGAUCGAAGAUGAUCAGAUACCGU
This 418-nucleotide ribosomal RNA is filed under the name uncultured eukaryote. RNAcentral's name for it is "SSU rRNA". It matches the Rfam family "Eukaryotic small subunit ribosomal RNA", at positions 592 to 1018 of the family's 1831-position model. The record is from RNAcentral.